AGAAUCAACGCUGGCGGCGUGCCUAACACAUGCAAGUCGAACGCGAAAGGGGAGCAAUCCCUAAGUAGAGUGGCAAACGGGUGAGUAACACGCGGGUGACCUGCCUUCGAGUGGGGGAUAACGUCCCGAAAGGGACGCUAAUACCGCAUAACAUCCUGUCCUUAGACGGACGGAGAUCAAAGCUAGGGAUCGCAAGACCUGGCGCUUAAAGAGGGGCCCGCGCCUGAUUAGCUAGUUGGUGAGGUAACGGCUCACCAAGGCAACGAUCAGUA
Molecule: ribosomal RNA, 272 nt
Filed under: uncultured bacterium
Lineage: Bacteria
Description: partial small subunit ribosomal RNA
Rfam family: Bacterial small subunit ribosomal RNA
Source: RNAcentral